This 660-nucleotide long non-coding RNA is filed under the name Anser brachyrhynchus (Pink-footed goose). RNAcentral describes it as "lncRNA (ENSABRG00000002773.1)". The record is from RNAcentral. Lineage: Eukaryota; Metazoa; Chordata; Aves; Anseriformes; Anatidae.
UAUUCAGUCUUCCUCCUCCAUUUACUUCACAGUGGCUGGAGUUAAUUUUGCUCCUAUAUCUCAGACCAGUCUGUCUUCCCCACUGGAAGACGAUUACCUCACAAAUCCUUGUUUGUCUACUCCUGACCUUACCCCAUGGAGCACCAAUGCUUUUUGAGCACCCACCCACCCAGGCCCUUGGACAGUGGGCUCACUACUGAUGUGCUCUUGCGUGCCCUUAGAAAGAGUGAAUUGGAAUUAUCAAGUCUUAGUCCAUUAACCUGUGGGCCAUGGAGCAGGACUGGAAAGCCUAUUCUUCCUUCUAUACCAAGUAAUUGAGUGUUUGCAGGAUGCAUGUGGCCACUAGAGUAUGUUCUUAUGAUCUUACCAUUUAUUUACCUUGAUACAAAACUCCAAUUACUGUCAGAGAUGCUUCUUGUUAAAUAUGGUAAGUUCUCUAGCUUCUAAGAGAGUGAAUAUGUAUUCUUUACUCUGGGGCCACACUGAGCAGGAUGCUAAGGAAUGAAAAUACUGGGGACUUUGGUGCAAAUUAAUUAAAUAUCUAAAGAUAACAAAGUAAUGAAAAUAGUUUGUAGAAGUUUGGGCUUUAGAGACAGAUGAAAUUUGGAAGAGAAAUAGUACAGUUCAGUGUUUGUCUUUGUUUAGGAAGCUUUUCCAAAA